AGGAUGAAGAAAACUCUGAGCUUGAAAUCAGAAGUGAAUGAAGCUGUGGAGAUGAUAGAGUUAGACAACUCUCCUGAUUAUGAGAACGUCGCUGCUGCAGCACAGACAGAAGACACAGAGGAGCAGGAAGACCUGGUGUGAAGCCUCAGGUGCACUGUGAUUGGUUGAAAGUAUUUAGGAGGGAACAGGAAGUCUCUCUCUCUCCAUCCCCGGUUGCAGCAGCAGCAGUUUGUACA
Long non-coding RNA from Limanda limanda (common dab), 236 nucleotides. RefSeq lists it as uncharacterized. Lineage: Eukaryota; Metazoa; Chordata; Actinopteri; Pleuronectiformes; Pleuronectidae. The transcript is spliced from 3 exons. The record is from RefSeq and is a predicted model, not a curated record.